AGUGAACGCUGGCGGUAGGCCUAACACAUGCAAGUCGAACGGCAGCACAGUAAGAGCUUGCUCUUACGGGUGGCGAGUGGCGGACGGGUGAGGAAUACAUCGGAAUCUACUUUUUCGUGGGGGAUAACGUAGGGAAACUUACGCUCAUACCGCAUACGACCUACGGGUGAAAGCAUGGGAUCUUCGGACCUUGCGCGAAUGAAUGAGCCGAUGUCGGAGUAGCUAGUUGGCGGGGUAAAGGCCCACCAAGUGGACGAUACGUAGCCGGUGUGAGAGGAUGGUCGGCGACACUGGAGCGGAGACACGGUCCAUACUCCUACGGGAGGCAGCAGUGGGGAAUAUUGGGCAAUGGGCGCAAGCCUGAUCCAGCCAUACCGCGUGGGUGAAGAAGGCCUUCGGGUUGUAAAGACCUUUUGUUGGGAGAGAAAAGCAGCAGGUUAAUACCCCGCUGUUCUGACGGUACCCAAUGAAGAAGCACCGGCUAACUUCGUG
This 492-nucleotide ribosomal RNA is filed under the name uncultured bacterium. RNAcentral describes it as "partial 16S ribosomal RNA". It matches the Rfam family "Bacterial small subunit ribosomal RNA", at positions 29 to 507 of the family's 1533-position model. The record is from RNAcentral.